GAUGAACGCUGGCGGCGUGCCUAAUACAUGCAAGUCGAGCGAACAGACGAGGAGCUUGCUCCUCUGACGUUAGCGGCGGACGGGUGAGUAACACGUGGAUAACCUACCUAUAAGACUGGGAUAACUUCGGGAAACCGGAGCUAAUACCGGAUAAUAUAUUGAACCGCAUGGUUCAAUAGUGAAAGACGGUUUUGCUGUCACUUAUAGAUGGAUCCGCGCCGCAUUAGCUAGUUGGUAAGGUAACGGCUUACCAAGGCAACGAUGCGUAGCCGACCUGAGAGGGUGAUCGGCCACACUGGAACUGAGACACGGGCCAGACUCCUACGGGAGGCAGCAGUAGGGAAUCUUCCGCAAUGGGCGAAAGCCUGACGGAGCAACGCCGCGUGAGUGAUGAAGGUCUUCGGAUCGUAAAACUCUGUUAUUAGGGAAGAACAAAUGUGUAAGUAACUAUGCACGUCUUGACGGUACCUAAUCAGAAAGCCACGGCUAACUACGUGC
This 498-nucleotide ribosomal RNA is filed under the name uncultured bacterium. RNAcentral's name for it is "partial 16S ribosomal RNA". It matches the Rfam family "Bacterial small subunit ribosomal RNA", at positions 28 to 508 of the family's 1533-position model. The record is from RNAcentral.